Molecule: ribosomal RNA, 516 nt
Filed under: uncultured bacterium
Lineage: Bacteria
Description: bacterial SSU rRNA
Rfam family: Bacterial small subunit ribosomal RNA
Source: RNAcentral
CGGAUUCUGGCUCAGGAUGAACGCUAGCUACAGGCUUAACACAUGCAAGUCGAGGGGCAGCAUGAUCGAAGCUUGCUUUGAUUGAUGGCGACCGGCGCACGGGUGAGUAACGCGUAUCCAACCUUCCCUAUAGUAGAGGAUAGCCCGGCGAAAGUCGGAUUAAUACUCUAUGUUUUCCAAUGCAGACAUCUAAAAUGGAACAAAGGUUUACCGCUAUAGGAUGGGGAUGCGUCUGAUUAGAUAGUAGGCGGGGUAACGGCCCACCUAGUCGACGAUCAGUAGGGGUUCUGAGAGGAAGGUCCCCCACAUUGGAACUGAGACACGGUCCAAACUCCUACGGGAGGCAGCAGUGAGGAAUAUUGGUCAAUGGGCGAGAGCCUGAACCAGCCAAGUAGCGUGCAGGAUGACGGCCCUAUGGGUUGUAAACUGCUUUUAUACAGGGAUAAAGUGCGCCACGUGUGGCGUUUUGUAGGUACUGUAUGAAUAAGGACCGGCUAAUUCCGUGCCAGCAGCAGC